RNAcentral lists this ribosomal RNA (253 nucleotides) under uncultured bacterium. Its description in RNAcentral is "partial 16S ribosomal RNA". It matches the Rfam family "Bacterial small subunit ribosomal RNA", at positions 524 to 776 of the family's 1533-position model. The record is from RNAcentral.
UACGAAGGGUGCAAGCGUUACUCGGAAUUACUGGGCGUAAAGCGUGCGUAGGCGGGUUGUUAAGUCCGUUGUGAAAGCCCUGGGCUCAACCUGGGAAUUGCAGUGGAUACUGGCGAGCUAGAGUGCGGUAGAGGAUGGUGGAAUUCCCGGUGUAGCGGUGAAAUGCGUAGAGAUCGGGAGGAACACCCGUGGCGAAGGCGGCCAUCUGGACCAGCACUGACGCUGAGGCACGAAAGCGUGGGGAGCAAACAGG